UACCGGCAGCUCGAGUGAUGGCCGAUUUUAUUGGGCCUAAAGCGUCCGUAGCUGGCCCUGCAAGUCCGUCGGGAAAUCCACUCGCCUAACGAGUGGGCGUCCGGCGGAAACUACAAGGCUUGGGACCGGAAGACUUGAGGGGUACGUCUGGGGUAGGAGUGAAAUCCUGUAAUCCUGGACGGACCGCCGAUGGCGAAAGCACCUCAAGACGACGGAUCCGACAGUGAGGGACGAAAGCUAGGGUCUCGAACCGG
This 254-nucleotide ribosomal RNA is filed under the name uncultured archaeon. Its description in RNAcentral is "partial 16S ribosomal RNA". It matches the Rfam family "Archaeal small subunit ribosomal RNA", at positions 474 to 727 of the family's 1478-position model. The record is from RNAcentral.